GACAAACGCUGGCGGCGUGCUUAACACAUGCAAGUCGAACGGAAAGGCCCUGCUUUUGUGGGGUGCUCGAGUGGCGAACGGGUGAGUAACACGUGAGUAACCUGCCCUUGACUUUGGGAUAACUUCAGGAAACUGGGGCUAAUACCGGAUAGGAGCUCCUGCUGCAUGGUGGGGGUUGGAAAGUUUCGGCGGUUGGGGAUGGACUCGCGGCUUAUCAGCUUGUUGGUGGGGUAGUGGCUUACCAAGGCUUUGACGGGUAGCCGGCCUGAGAGGGUGACCGGCCACAUUGGGACUGAGAUACGGCCCAGACUCCUACGGGAGGCAGCAGUGGGGAAUAUUGCACAAUGGGCGGAAGCCUGAUGCAGCAACGCCGCGUGCGGGAUGACGGCCUUCGGGUUGUAAACCGCUUUCGCCUGUGGCGAAGCGUGAGUGACGGUAAUGGGUAAAGAAGCACCGGCUAACUACGUG
RNAcentral lists this ribosomal RNA (468 nucleotides) under uncultured bacterium. RNAcentral's name for it is "partial 16S ribosomal RNA". It matches the Rfam family "Bacterial small subunit ribosomal RNA", at positions 28 to 507 of the family's 1533-position model. The record is from RNAcentral.